RNAcentral lists this ribosomal RNA (255 nucleotides) under uncultured bacterium. RNAcentral's name for it is "partial 16S ribosomal RNA". It matches the Rfam family "Bacterial small subunit ribosomal RNA", at positions 524 to 776 of the family's 1533-position model. The record is from RNAcentral.
UACGUAGGGUGCGAGCGUUAAUCGGAAUUACUGGGCGUAAAGCGUGCGCAGGCGGUCUGUUAAGACCGAUGUGAAAUCCCCGGGCUUAACCUGGGAACUGCAUUGGUGACUGGCAGGCUUUGAGUGUGGCAGAGGGAGGUAGAAUUCCACGUGUAGCAGUGAAAUGCGUAGAGAUGUGGAGGAAUACCGAUGGCGGAAGGCAGCCUCCUGGGCCAACACUGACGCUCAUGCACGAAAGCGUGGGGAGCAAACAGG